UCAUGGCAUAUUGGUCCUCUCCGCAGCUUGGAUCUGGAAGUUUUUUCAGAAAUCUUCUCACCGAAAUAAAUGGGGCGUGGCAACCAAGCGACGACAGCAGCAGGGACGUUGC
RNAcentral lists this ribosomal RNA (112 nucleotides) under Octactis speculum. Its description in RNAcentral is "partial Eukaryotic large subunit ribosomal RNA". Lineage: Eukaryota; Dictyochophyceae; Dictyochales; Dictyochaceae. The record is from RNAcentral.